RNAcentral lists this long non-coding RNA (703 nucleotides) under Gallus gallus (chicken). RNAcentral describes it as "lncRNA (ENSGALG00010002842.1)". Lineage: Eukaryota; Metazoa; Chordata; Aves; Galliformes; Phasianidae. The record is from RNAcentral.
CUAUGAAGGAACACCUGAAACACUGGUAGCAGAUUUUGAAAGGAUAUUGAUCUGAAAGCAUGUCCAGAAGCUUUGGAUAACUCCUAACCUUGUCCAAACCAAGGAAAUAAACAGUUGAAACUGCAAGAGGAGGAGGAGGAGAAAGAAGGGUAACUGAAACAACUAGAUUUCCUUGGAGGACUGUUUCCAGCUUGUUGUCACAGACAAAAAACAUGCUAGAGGUAAAUAUGGGAAACACCUGUUUGAUGGAUUGGAUUGCAGUCAGUGGUUAUUGAACGAUAAUUUACUGUUACAUCUAAUUAAAAGCAGACCAUUUGUGAGCAAAUCAAUACAAUAAAACUUACCUGAAGAAUUUAAACAACCUAGUGUCCACCUUUUACAGCAUCUCUCAUUGGCUCAACGUGAAUUUUUUUCUCAGUAACUUGUUUAGGAUUUGAAAGCUGCAAAGAUAUAUCUUUCACGUGACCUGAUGUUCAGUGUUAGAUGGAGCUGCUAGACAGCUUACUUAAUUAGUUCAGCUAAUGAUUCAAUUUCUGAAACCUAAUGCCAAUUUGUAUUUACACAGCAGCUCUCAGUGUGUUUCUCUAAAGCAACACUUAAGUUUUUAAAUGCUAGUAGUUAAUAAGCAUUUGGAGCUGAAGAUUAUAGUUGUAAAUACAGGGUAAAGUGCAUACAGGGAUGCUGUUGUCAAAAACAAACCCAC